This 253-nucleotide ribosomal RNA is filed under the name uncultured bacterium. RNAcentral describes it as "partial 16S ribosomal RNA". It matches the Rfam family "Bacterial small subunit ribosomal RNA", at positions 524 to 776 of the family's 1533-position model. The record is from RNAcentral.
UACGUAGGGUGCAGGCGUUAAUCGGAAUUACUGGGCGUAAAGCGUGCGCAGGCGGUUUGCUAAGACAGGUGUGAAAUCCCCGGGCUUAACCUGGGAACUGCGCUUGUUACUGGCAAGCUGGAGUGUGGCAGAGGGGGGUGGAAUUCCACGUGUAGCAGUGAAAUGCGUAGAGAUGUUGAGGAACACCGAUGGCGAAGGCAGCCCCCUGGGCUAACACUGACGCUCAUGCACGAAAGCGUGGGGAGCAAACAGG